CAGCUCCAAUAGCGUAUAUUAAAGUUGUUGCAGUUAAAAAGCUCGUAGUUGGAUCUAGGGACGCGCAUUUCAAGCGCCCGUGUCGUCGGGUCAAACCGGCGACUGCGUUGGCGUUGCGGGCUCGGUCCGUCGGUGCCUACAAAGCAUCGGCGUGUCAACCGGCCCGCCCGUCCCCUCCUUCUGGAUUCCCGUUCCUGCUAUUGAGUUAGUGGGGACGUCACAGGGGGCCCAUGCAAAUGGCGGCGGUGGGUCUCUGGGGCCCAGAUCGUUUACCGUGAAAAAAUUAGAGUGUUCAAAGCAGGCAGAUCCAAUUUUCUGCCACCGAAUACAUUAGCAUGGGAUAAUGGAAUAGGACCCUGUCCUCCUAUUUUCAGUUGGUUUUGGCAGCGCGAGGACUAGGGUAAUGAUUAAUAGGGAUAGUUGGGGGCAUUAAUAUUUAAUUGUCAGAGGUGAAAUUCUUGGAUUUAUGAAAGAUUAACUU
This 481-nucleotide ribosomal RNA is filed under the name Acanthamoeba sp. Its description in RNAcentral is "SSU rRNA". It matches the Rfam family "Eukaryotic small subunit ribosomal RNA", at positions 586 to 942 of the family's 1831-position model. Lineage: Eukaryota; Discosea; Longamoebia; Acanthamoebidae. The record is from RNAcentral.